GUAAGAUCAUAAUGAUGGUCAAUAAUGUCCUUCGAUUAUUUUCCCAUCAAAAUCGACACCAACAGUUUUAUAAAAUAUUGCAUCAAACAUGUGCAUGGCUUUUUGUAAUUUAGGUGGUGAGAAAAUAAUAAAAAUUACAUAAGAUGAAACACAUACAAGAACAUAGUUAGGUCUUUUAAAGAAUUAAAAUUUUUCAUUCUCAUAAUUAUCAAUAUUGUAGCAAACUUUAAUAAUACUUCAAUUAGUCAAAAUUUUAAAUCAAACGUU
This 267-nucleotide long non-coding RNA is filed under the name Carica papaya (papaya). RNAcentral's name for it is "long non-coding RNA (CPAP_LNC003937)". Lineage: Eukaryota; Viridiplantae; Streptophyta; Magnoliopsida; Brassicales; Caricaceae. The record is from RNAcentral.